This 21-nucleotide non-coding RNA is filed under the name Caenorhabditis elegans. The record is from RNAcentral. Lineage: Eukaryota; Metazoa; Nematoda; Chromadorea; Rhabditida; Rhabditidae.
UCUUAUAGGCUUUUGCAAAAA